This 102-nucleotide small RNA is filed under the name Halpernia frigidisoli. RNAcentral's name for it is "Flavo-1 RNA". It matches the Rfam family "Flavo-1 RNA". Lineage: Bacteria; Pseudomonadati; Bacteroidota; Flavobacteriia; Flavobacteriales; Weeksellaceae. The record is from Rfam by way of RNAcentral.
UUUUAGCCCCGGGUGAAGCGGCAUCCUUUUUUUUAUUUCAUGGUUUUCUUUCCUGAAAAAAUUUUCUUGAAAAAAAAGAUAUAGCGGAACACGGGUAGAGUU